This 425-nucleotide ribosomal RNA is filed under the name Dehalococcoidia bacterium. RNAcentral describes it as "bacterial LSU rRNA". It matches the Rfam family "Bacterial large subunit ribosomal RNA", at positions 2506 to 2925 of the family's 2925-position model. The record is from RNAcentral. Lineage: Bacteria; Bacillati; Chloroflexota; Dehalococcoidia.
CGACGGGGAGGUUUGGCACCUCGAUGUCGGCUCGUCUCAUCCUGGGGCUGAAGAAGGUCCCAAGGGUCCGGCUGUUCGCCGGUUAAAGCGGUACGUGAGCUGGGUUCAGACCGUCGUGAGACAGGUCGGUCUCUAUCCGCUAUGGGCGUAGGAGGCUUGAGGGAAGCUCUCCCUAGUACGAGAGGACCGGGAGGGACAAACCUCUGGUGUGCCGGUCGUUCCGCCAGGAGCGCCGCCGGGUAGCUAAGUUUGGCAGGGAUAAGCGCUGAAAGCAUCUAAGUGCGAAGCCCCUCCCAAGAUUAGGCCUCCCUUCCAAGUUUCGGCUUGGAGUAAGAUCGCAGGUAGACUACCUGCUUGAUAGGUCACAUGUGUAAGUCUCGCAAGAGAUUCAGCUUAGUGAUACUAAUCGAUCGAGGGCUUGACUC